GACACCCCAAAGGCCCUACAGAGGACGGUUUUCGAUGUCGUUGCCAAAGAUCGAGUGGUUGUGAAUGAGGAAAGUGAUAAGAAGUCACCUGUGGACAGUAAGAAAGAUGUGAUAACCAAAGACUCAGACCUCAAAAGGAAGGAACCUUUAAGUGAGGUUAAAAAGGAUUACGGGACGUUGGAUUCUAUUAUCCGACAAAAUGCUCAACAAAUCAAACAGUCUUGCUCAAUUAAUAAGAAUAUAACAAAUAAUAACACUAACGUUAUUACCAAUAAUUUCAUUCCAAAAACAUCGAAUUAUGACACAUUGCCUUUGAAUAACAAAAACGAAGCUCAGUUGAGAAGUGAUAAUAAUUCGAUAAGCCAAAACGCAACAAGAAAUAACUUAAACCUACACAGGACAAAUAGCUUCGAAAAGAGCAACGAGGCCAUCAUCAAAACUGACAGGGAUUUGAAGAACGAUUUUUCUGAGGUGAACAGAAUCUUGAACAAAGUCGAUAAGGUUGUGAAAAACGGAGAGAAAGCUACAAGACUGACAGAAAAAGACUCGCAGGACGAAGAAAUCGACAGCGACGAUGACGCGGAUAAGAGCGCCACCGCGGAUAUUUGGGUCCGGACAAUCGAGUCACCAGUGCGGAAAUCGGUGAAGGAUCUAGCGUUGGCCAUCGAGUCCGUCGAGACCAAGACCAUCGAGGAGAAGUUGGACGUGGAGAAGAAGAAAUCCAAGCACAAAAAGGAGGAUGACGACCAGCCGGACUUCAAUGACAAACCCUACGGAGUGACGCAAUCCCAAAGCUCGAACCAGCUGUCGCUCCCACCCAACCAGCGGCAGAACCAGCGUCUGGUCGGUUGCGAGAGCCUCCCUUGCAGCAGGCCCGGAUCACGCACAGCAUCCAGAUCCUCAUCCCCCGCCUUCUUCGUCAACGACAAAACCGCCAGGGACAAGAAGAUCAGCGCGGCGGAAGCCCUCGGGGUCGUCGCCAAACCAUGUCCCCGCAUCAUCCCCUCGAGCAACACAGCCUUCGCCAAGGCUAACUUCGAGUUCCGGCGUCAAUCCCUCGGCAACCUCUCGGACUCGAAGUUCGGGCGGAUCUCCAGCGGGUGGUCGUCGCACGUGCCGUCCUCGGCGUCGACGGACGUGGAGUCGUCCUACGGCUCGGACGUCUUCGACAACCGCCGGAAACGCCUGUCCAAGCGCUGCUCGAGCGUCGAUAGCCGGACUCUCUCGCGGUGCUACCCGGACAAACACGCCGGGCACUUCGGCUCCGACAACCGGGGAUUCCACACCCUCUCCAAGAUCUCCCUGCGGAACGGGACCGGGCACCCCGACUGCAAGUACUUCCCCAAGUCGACGGUAGUGCCCUCCGGCUACUACUCCCUGGACACGCCGCCUCCUCCGCCUCCGCCGGAGCACCAUCGACGGUCCUCCAGCCACGGCUCCAAGUCGGAAAACGGCCCGAGGCCGCGGUCCACGUGCAACUGCGGCCAUCACCUCGCCUCGCUGUGCGUCCCGGUUGGGAAACGCACCUACUCGGUGGAGGAGCUCCCUUCGUCUUUGAGCCGUCACGGAGGUGUGCCCCCGCCCCCGUCUACCGCCCCCCACCCCCACCCGCCUCCGGCCCUCGUCGAUCUCAAUCGCUCCAACAGGUCCUCCUUCGGCAAGUCCCAGCAGCGGGUCAAGUUCGCGCUGGACGAAACGGAUUUGGAGAAGAUGGGGUCGUACACGAGUAAGUGCGUCGUCGGGUCCGAGCCCGAGGGGAUCAUGAAGAGGUCCUCGCGGAAAAUGACGCAGUUCGAUGACCUGUCCAACAACCACGGUGACCCCAACGGGAUUCUGAAUCUGCCGCCGCCUCCGCCGCCGCCGUAUCACUCCGUUGGGACUCUGACGCAGGGUGGAAAGUUACCAUCGUCUACCAACUCCAUUUUGAAGCAGCCAAAACCCAGAGUAAGUCAUUUUGAUAUCAGUUUUUUAACUUUCUGUUUAAAAUUUAAGGAGCUGAUUCGAGGAAAUCAACUGAAUAUCAGGAGGCCCUGUCUCGAAUCUAUAAAUCGCUGACAGUGUUUAAGAAAAUCACCCCAAACAUAGACCUCAUUCUUAUCGAGGGCUUAAAUUAAAUAUGAACUUGAGGUUAAGACAUAACUUUACGACUGAAAAGAAAAUAAUCAGGCGUGUCCUACAUACGUAGAUCCAAUAAAAAUAGCUCCGUGUGAAAGUCGCAGUCUACUUUUCAGUCUGAAUGUAAGUCACUACUUGAUAUAAAGUUUUAAUAAAACUAUAAGGACGCCGACUAAAUCCAUAAUUCAGGCUGCGUGUAAUUGAGCUUUGAGUUAAAUUUAAGUAGCACAGAAUUUUUUUGUGUUGAUGUCUUUUUAGAGCGCAUUACCACUAUAACCUUUUUUUUAAAAGUGUGCCUAUCGUAAAAAAGGAAAUAACGAGUAAAAUUGUAUCUGCCUAGAACUCUGUAAUUUCCUAAUGGAGCGAUCAAUCACACCCCGAAAGAAUGUAUUAUAUGCAAUAAGCAAUAAUUGUGUAAGAAAAAAAAAAAAAACCCGUGGUGUGUCGCUUUUAAAGUUUGAAAUCACCUCCUCACUUUCAAUUAAUAGUCGUUUUUCUCCUCUUUUCCUCUCAAUUUUUUCAUUCGAUAUCCCUAAAUAGUUUUACGAUUACAGAGUUAUGGUAGAGCGCAGAUUUAUUAAAGAAAGUAGAUCAUCAAGCAGAAUCGUUCUAUUCGUAAUAUUAUGUGAUCCUUUUUGCACCGAGAUUCUGUUUCAAGAUAGAAAAGAUAAAAAAAAGAAGAAAAAAAAGAGGAGAAAAAGAGGAGAAAAAGAGGAGAGGGAAGACGUAAAGAGAUUUCUAAAGUUGGCAACUAAAAAUUUCGAGGCGCAAACUUUAGUUAUUUCUUCAGUUUCAUCUCUCAUUACACCAUAGGAAGUGAACAUGCAUGCAAUGCAACUGUAUGAACUCAUGGGAAUGUUUUUUGCCUACUUGAUCAAAUUGAAGGCGCACUGAAAGAAUUCAAUGUCAUUUGCCCAGUAUUUUCUCGCAAAUAUUAUGUAUUUUAAGUUUUCACUUGCGUAAGUUAUAAUAUUGCUUUCUGCACUGCGAAUAAUUGUUUUAAGUUGUUUGAUACCGAAUCUCAUGAAUUAUGGUACAAGGAGGAGGAAAAAAAUGUUUUACAAAAAUUAACUAGCUGUUGCGAACAUUUAGAUGACAUGUGUCAAAUGUGAUACAAUGAAGAUUGCUGCAUGCUGCAUACAACCAGACUUAAAAAGACUUCCUUUAAAAUGAUUUUCAAAAUACAAUGGAAAGAAUUAAAAAUUGAUGAAGAAUAAAAAAAACAAGGUUUUCCUCUUACCGUAUGGACUGAGUUCCUUUUCCAUGUUAUUUUAGGAACCAACCAUAUUAUUGCUAGCAAAGAUAGAUUUUUAUUUUACAAAUUUGAAUUGUUAUCGUAAAGUUUUUACCCAUUCUCCUUUAAAUUUAAAUUACCUAAAAGACGUAACCUGAAUCGAAACGACAAAGAUAAUGUCCAUGUAAACUAUGUACGCCGAUUUGCAA
Molecule: long non-coding RNA, 3558 nt
Filed under: Bemisia tabaci
Lineage: Eukaryota; Metazoa; Arthropoda; Insecta; Hemiptera; Aleyrodidae
Description: lncRNA ENSASIAIIG011408
Source: RNAcentral